Molecule: long non-coding RNA, 1874 nt
Filed under: Rattus norvegicus (Norway rat)
Lineage: Eukaryota; Metazoa; Chordata; Mammalia; Rodentia; Muridae
Description: long non-coding RNA NONRATT028242
Source: RNAcentral
AAGAUUUACAGAAAAAGAUCAAUGGCCACAGUUUGAGACAAAGUUGACCCAGGAGUAGAUGCUUGGUUUAAUUAGGUUUUUAUACUUGUUAAAUGUGAUUGAAAGACUUGGGUCUUACCUGUGUUAUCUAGAAUUAGAGGGACAGUUUAAUUUCCUUACAGAAAAACUGCUCAGUCCCAGGCUAUGAGGAAACCCCAGAUUGGCUCCUCAGGAAUGUGUCUUUAUUUCACAGAGGCACCACUGAGCUGAAACUGUAUAGUACACGUGCUACGCGAAGGUCUUUCUUGCCGGACUACAGUGUGUGCUUACCUGUGCAUUAGUCUCUGUAAACCCUGGGAUGGCACUCUGUACAUUGAUCUAAGAAGCUUAAGGGCAAGGCAUGAGGACUGGGUUUUUAUUAAACAAUUUAGUAAUUAUAAAAGUUUCUUGUGUUUACUAGUAAAGAAUUUUAGAAAUUAUUUUAAUUGAACAAAAUUUUUAAAAAAAACUUUGUAAUUGGAGGGAAAAGUUUGAGGGUGGAGGGGGUAGAGGAAAGUGGGCCACAAAAUACAAAUUUACCUCUUUCAUUGGGUAGCUCUUCAGGCCAUUGAUGAGAUACAUAGACUUGCACAUUGGAGAGAAAAUACAGAGAUUAGACUUGUAUAUUAAACCUGCAGACACGGCCGUGUGCUGAGAUGUGUAGCUCUGCUCCCGUAUGGGGCUCUGCAGAACAAAGAGGUGCUGCAGUGAGCAGCUUCCUGGGACCUGCAGGGACACUCACUCUCCGUCACCUCUGUUCUAGUGACUAACAAAAUUUGUGUUCAAGGUAACUUGCCUGUUGACUUUUUUUUUUUUUUUUUUUGGUCUUCCAUUUUUGUCUUCCUUUAAUUUGACUUUAUGUAGUUCUGGAAGUAACAGAUAAACUAUAGUACAAAAGAAAAACUGUGAGCUAUAUAGUGCUUUUUUAAGUACAUAUUUUAAAGUUUCUUAAAGCAGUUGAUUUCUCCUCUCCACUUCCUCCUACUGAACCAAUUUCUGUUAUGAAAUUUGCUAUCAGUGGUGGGGUCUUAACAUGAUAGGAGUUAGAUUUUGUAUCCCAUAACUGGUAAUACAGGUUUUUUGUUUGUUCUUUUUUAUUAAUGUAGCUUCUUGAGGGGAAGUCUGUUUAAUCUCCUAUUCUCAAAGCACACCGCAGUUCUGGUUGAACUAAACCUUGGUGAACAGAGGGCACAGGAUCCCGAGAGUUGUUGAGUGGUCCCUUGCUAUAGUUUCUAGGUGUGUGUUUACUCAGUGAAUCAGUAACCUGAACUACCUACAGCAGCACAGCAGUGUGGCCGCAGUGGGACUAGUGGGCUAUGUUAGUGCCGCACAUGCCCUGGCUUCUCUGUGUAGUCAGACAUACUGAAGGUUAGCAUUGAACACUGGCCUGUUUUCUAGCCAAAAUGUUCAGACGUGAGCAACCACUUCUUUGAGAGUGAAGCAGGAACUGACCAUUGAUAUUUGUAUCUAUGUGUACUGACUAAUAAUGCUGGCAUCCUGGACAAUACUGUGAUCUGGGAAAGCUCUGAAAACUGGUUCCAGCCGCCCUGCACACCAGACUGUGCUUUUCCAUGCUGUUAUAUUGUGCUCCUUUUAAAUCAAGUAGCAUGCUGCAUUCCUCAGGAUAGUAGCUUUUGCUGUGUAAUGUCACUUGCUUUGAAUUUUCAAUCAUGCUUUCGCCAUUACAUUUAACCAAUGAUGUCAUUAAGUUCUAUUAAAGUGUCAUUCCUUUGGGAAGCAAGGGAUUCCCACUUGCAGAAUUUUAAGAUGAAGGUAGCAUGUUUUGUUCAGAAGGUGGAAAUAGGGACUCGAACAGUGUCUUCAGAAGCUGAUCUGUUGAGAUUUGUGUGCACAGU